AUUGAACGCUGGCGGCAUGCUUUACACAUGCAAGUCGAACGGCAGCGCGGGCUUCGGCCUGGCGGCGAGUGGCGAACGGGUGAGUAAUUCAUCGGAACGUGCCCAGUAGUGGGGGAUAGCCCGGCGAAAGCCGGAUUAAUACCGCAUACGACCUGAGGGUGAAAGCGGGGGACCGAAAGGCCUCGCGCUAUUGGAGCGGCCGAUGUCGGAUUAGCUAGUUGGUGGGGUAAAGGCUUACCAAGGCGACGAUCCGUAGCUGGUCUGAGAGGACGACCAGCCACACUGGGACUGAGACACGGCCCAGACUCCUACGGGAGGCAGCAGUGGGGAAUUUUGGACAAUGGGGGCAACCCUGACCCAGCCAUGCCGCGUGCGGGAAGAGGGCCUUCGGGUUGUAAACCGCUUUUGUUCGGGAAGAAAUCCUCUGGGCUAAUACCCCGGGGGGAUGACGGUACCGGAAGAAUAAGCACCGGCUAACUACGUG
This 484-nucleotide ribosomal RNA is filed under the name uncultured bacterium. Its description in RNAcentral is "partial 16S ribosomal RNA". It matches the Rfam family "Bacterial small subunit ribosomal RNA", at positions 28 to 507 of the family's 1533-position model. The record is from RNAcentral.